RNAcentral lists this ribosomal RNA (116 nucleotides) under Pteropus alecto (black flying fox). The record is from RNAcentral. Lineage: Eukaryota; Metazoa; Chordata; Mammalia; Chiroptera; Pteropodidae.
GUCUACAGCCAUGUGACCCUGAACAAGCCCGAUGUCUGAUCUUGAAAGCCAAGCAGAGUCGAGCCUGGUUAGUACGUGGAUGAGAGACCAUCUAGGCAGACCAGGUGCUGUAGGCA